AAGUCGUAACAAGGUUUCCGUAGGUGAACCUGCGGAAGGAUCAUUAUUGAAUGAACUUGGUUGGGUUGUUGCUGGCUCUGAGGAGCAUGUGCACGCCUAACACCAAUUCUUUACCACCUGUGCACUUCUGUAGACUUGAGGGAGACAUUUCGAGGAAACUCGGACUGAGGAUUGCUGAGCGAAAGCCAGCUGUUCUUGAUUCUCCCCAAGUCUAUGCUUUUUACACACUCCAAUGCAUGUAAUAGAAUGAUUUGUGGGCUUUAAUGCCUUUAAACUAAAUACAACUUUCAACAACGGAUCUCUUGGCUCUC
RNAcentral lists this unclassified non-coding RNA (311 nucleotides) under air metagenome. Its description in RNAcentral is "partial contains small subunit ribosomal RNA, internal transcribed spacer 1, and 5.8S ribosomal RNA". The stretch from base 1 to 46 matches the Rfam family "Eukaryotic small subunit ribosomal RNA", at positions 1786 to 1831 of the family's 1831-position model. The record is from RNAcentral.